RNAcentral lists this ribosomal RNA (465 nucleotides) under uncultured bacterium. Its description in RNAcentral is "partial 16S ribosomal RNA". It matches the Rfam family "Bacterial small subunit ribosomal RNA", at positions 339 to 795 of the family's 1533-position model. The record is from RNAcentral.
CUACGGGGGGCAGCAGUGGGGAAUAUUGGACAAUGGGGGAAACCCUGAUCCAGCAAUGCCGCGUGUGUGAAGGAGGCCUGCGGGUUGUAAAGCACUUUCGGUUGGGAGGACUGCUUCUAGCACUAAUAUUGUUGGAAGUUGACGUUACCUUCAGAAGAAGCACCGGCUAACUCCGUGCCAGCAGCCGCGGUAAUACGGAGGGUGCGAGCGUUAAUCGGAAUUACUGGGCGUAAAGCGCGCGUAGGCGGCGAGAUCAGUCGGGUGUGAAAGCCCCGGGCUUAACCUGGGAACUGCAUCCGAUACUGGCUAGCUUGAGUACAGGAGAGGAGAGUGGAAUUCCACAUGUAGCGGUGAAAUGCGUAGAUAUGUGGAGGAACACCAAUGGCGAAGGCAGCUCUCUGGCCUGAUACUGACGCUGAGGUGCGAAAGCGUGGGGAGCAAACAGGAUUAGAUACCCCGGUAGUC